UCCAGCUAUAGUUGGCAUAAAACGACAUUUCAAUACUAAACCAAAAGGCAAUGGUAAGAAGUAUAUUCAUACAGGUAAUGUAGCAACCUUUGCUCAUCUCCAACGUGUAUGUCAACUUCUCUCUUUCGCAGUGUUCUACUUCUUUUUAGUUUCUCCAUAUUUGUAUAAAUACGAUAUUUACACCUGGUAUCGUAUACCUAAGAAACUCGUGAAGUAGACGUAAGCCAUACAAUAUUCCUUCCAAUGACCUUUCAUUCUAUAAUGAAACCAAGGGUCAUUAGAUUUGGUAUUUGUCCUUUUGCUUAUACUGUCUUAACCAUAUUGGGUGCUUUCACAAAGCCCCUUUAGGCUUCCUCUUAAUAUCUUUAAAGGAAUCAAUGGUUUGCCCACUACCAACUUCGAUAAAGGGGUUAACAGUCCUAAGUAUGUUAAGCAACUCAAUAUUUUUGCAUUCGAACUUAUUCACGUUAAAUUCAUAAUUAGUUGUGAAUAGCUUCAACUGACAGAGAUUACAGGACCAAGUCACUACUUAGUUCAUGGUUUAUGAUUGAAUACAGUUGAGACAUUUCUCAACGUCAAUCGUCUUCAGUGUCUAAGCAUCGAUUGAAGAUUACUCUGUCAUUUUGCACCGGUAUAGUUGUUUGGAAGUCUCAUAUCCUUCCACACAUGAUUAUUAUUAUGUGUUAACAUCUAUACUCUCAAGUUGCUUUUGUAACUCAGUGACAUAGUUGCAAGUAUCACAUACGUUGCAGUGCUAUUGUCAUCACUGCGUUUACUACAGUAGCCACCUCUUCUUUAAUUGAGUCAUCAUCAGGUGUCUCUGGAAAGGGCUACUCAAGGACGUGACCAAUUUUCUCAUGCAUGAGAACAAUUCUCAAAUUGCAGUGUCAAUUAAGAAAAUAUAGUUUGGUUGUUGGCAUCUAGUAUGCCAUUCAAAACACAUGGUUACUCACGAUUCAAUAUAAAUGUAAAUGACAAAAAGGAAAAGAAUAAAAUAUAUAAAAUGCAUUAA
This 1012-nucleotide long non-coding RNA is filed under the name Olea europaea subsp. europaea. Lineage: Eukaryota; Viridiplantae; Streptophyta; Magnoliopsida; Lamiales; Oleaceae. The record is from RNAcentral.